Molecule: ribosomal RNA, 253 nt
Filed under: uncultured bacterium
Lineage: Bacteria
Description: partial 16S ribosomal RNA
Rfam family: Bacterial small subunit ribosomal RNA
Source: RNAcentral
UACGUAGGGCGCAAGCGUUGUCCGGAAUUAUUGGGCGUAAAGAGUUCGUAGGCGGUUUGUCGCGUCUGCCGUGAAAGUCCGGGGCUCAACUCCGGAUCUGCGGUGGGUACGGGCAGACUAGAGUGAUGUAGGGGAGACUGGAAUUCCUGGUGUAGCGGUGAAAUGCGCAGAUAUCAGGAGGAACACCGAUGGCGAAGGCAGGUCUCUGGGCAUUAACUGACGCUGAGGAGCGAAAGCAUGGGGAGCGAACAGG